Molecule: ribosomal RNA, 258 nt
Filed under: uncultured bacterium
Lineage: Bacteria
Description: partial 16S ribosomal RNA
Rfam family: Bacterial small subunit ribosomal RNA
Source: RNAcentral
UGGCGGACGGGUGAGUAACGCGUGGAAAACCUGCCGUAUACUGGGGGAUAACACUUAGAAAUAGGUGCUAAUACCGCAUAAGCGCACAGCUUCGCAUGAAGCGGUGUGAAAAACUCUAGUGGUAUACGAUGGUUCCGCGUCUGAUUAGCUAGUUGGUGGGGUAAUGGCCUACCAAGGCAACGAUCAGUAGCCGGCCUGAGAGGGUGAACGGCCACAUUGGGACUGAGACACGGCCCAAACUCCUACGGGAGGCAGCAG